Molecule: ribosomal RNA, 374 nt
Filed under: uncultured organism
Description: bacterial SSU rRNA
Rfam family: Bacterial small subunit ribosomal RNA
Source: RNAcentral
CAGAGGGUGCGAGCGUUGUUCGGAAUUACUGGGCGUAAAGCGCGCGCAGGCGGCCCUUUAAGUCCGUCGGUCAAAUGCCGGGGCUCAACCCCGAUGCAUGCCGAGGAUACUGGAGGGCUGGAGACACGUAGAGGCAAGCGGAAUUCCGGGUGUAGCGGUGGAAUGCGUAGAGAUCCGGAAGAACACCGGAGGCGAAGGCGGCUUGCUGGGCGUGAUCUGACGCUGAGGCGCGAAAGCGUGGGGAGCGAACAGGAUUAGAUACCCUGGUAGUCCACGCCGUAAACGAUGGGCACUAGACGCUGGUGGGAUCGACCCCUUCGGUGUCGCAGCUAACGCGAUAAGUGCCCCGCCUGGGGAGUACGGCCGCAAGGCUG